This 241-nucleotide ribosomal RNA is filed under the name Phycisphaerales bacterium. RNAcentral's name for it is "partial 16S ribosomal RNA". It matches the Rfam family "Bacterial small subunit ribosomal RNA", at positions 1 to 263 of the family's 1533-position model. Lineage: Bacteria; Pseudomonadati; Planctomycetota; Phycisphaerae; Phycisphaerales. The record is from RNAcentral.
CAAUUGAAGAGUUUGAUCCUGGCUCAGAUUGAACGCUGGCGGCAUAGCUAAAACAUGCAAGUCGCACGAAGCAGUAGCAAUACUGACUGAGUGGCGUAAGGGUGAGGAAUACAUUCCUAUGUACCCCAAGGUCGAGGAUAGCCAAGAGAAAUCUUGGGUAAUACUCGAUGUGGUCGUAAGAUCAAAGGUUUACCGCCUUGGGAGCGGGGAAUGUCCUAUCAGGUAGUUGGUGGGGUUACGG